GUUGUAUGGUUAAGUGACUAAGCGUACACGGUGGAUGCCUGGGCAGUCAGAGGCGAUGAAGGACGUACUAACUUGCGAUAAGCGCAGAUAAGGCAGUAAGAGCCGUUUGAGUCUGCGAUUUCCGAAUGGGGAAACCCAACUGCAUAAGCAGUUACUGUUAACUGAAUACAUAGGUUAACAGAGCAAACCGGGGGAACUGAAACAUCUAAGUACCCCGAGGAGAAGAAAUCAACCGAGAUUCCGGUAGUAGCGGCGAGCGAACCUGGAUUAGCCCUUAAGCACUCGGUGAAGUAGGUGAACAAGCUGGAAAGCUUGGCGAUACAGGGUGAUAGCCCCGUAACCGACGCUUCAUCGAGCGUGAAAUCGAGUAGGGCGGGACACGUGAUAUCCUGUCUGAAUAUGGGGGGACCAUCCUCCAAGGCUAAAUACUCCUGACUGACCGAUAGUGAACCAGUACCGUGAGGGAAAGGCGAAAAGAACCCCUGUGAGGGGAGUGAAAUAGAACCUGAAACCGUGUACGUACAAGCAGUAGGAGCACCUUCGUGGUGUGACUGCGUACCUUUUGUAUAAUGGGUCAGCGACUUAUAUUCAGUGGCAAGGUUAACCGUAUAGGGGAGCCGUAGCGAAAGCGAGUCUUAACUGGGCGCUCAGUCUCUGGAUAUAGACCCGAAACCGGGUGAUCUAGCCAUGGGCAGGUUGAAGGUUGAGUAACAUCAACUGGAGGACCGAACCGACUAAUGUUGAAAAAUUAGCGGAUGACUUGUGGCUAGGGGUGAAAGGCCAAUCAAACUCGGAGAUAGCUGGUUCUCCCCGAAAGCUAUUUAGGUAGCGCCUCGGACGAAUACUACUGGGGGUAGAGCACUGUUAAGGCUAGGGGGUCAUCCCGACUUACCAACCCUUUGCAAACUCCGAAUACCAGUAAGUACUAUCCGGGAGACACACGGCGGGUGCUAACGUCCGUCGUGGAGAGGGAAACAACCCAGACCGCCAGCUAAGGUCCCAAAGUAUUGCUAAGUGGGAAACGAUGUGGGAAGGCUCAGACAGCUAGGAUGUUGGCUUAGAAGCAGCCAUCAUUUAAAGAAAGCGUAAUAGCUCACUAGUCGAGUCGGCCUGCGCGGAAGAUGUAACGGGGCUAAGCAAUACACCGAAGCUG
This 1153-nucleotide ribosomal RNA is filed under the name Vibrio cholerae. Its description in RNAcentral is "partial 23S ribosomal RNA". It matches the Rfam family "Bacterial large subunit ribosomal RNA", at positions 1 to 1202 of the family's 2925-position model. The record is from RNAcentral. Lineage: Bacteria; Pseudomonadati; Pseudomonadota; Gammaproteobacteria; Vibrionales; Vibrionaceae.